RNAcentral lists this unclassified non-coding RNA (549 nucleotides) under Hevea brasiliensis (rubber tree). The record is from RNAcentral. Lineage: Eukaryota; Viridiplantae; Streptophyta; Magnoliopsida; Malpighiales; Euphorbiaceae.
UUUAUCAACGCAAGGAACCUCAAGAAGACAUAACAAAAUGUUGGGGGUGGGGUCCUGCUAUAAGAGUAAACAAAUCACACGGGUUUGAAAGGUAAAGCAUCUAAAAAGAAGGCAUUUUAAGUAGCCCUUGGAGUAGCCCACUCAACUCUAAGGAUGAGAUUAUCAUAACCAUAUCCAUUCAGUUUGUUGAUUGCUCUUUGAGCAUCCUCACGGUUCACAAAGUUCACGAAACCAAAUCCUCUGCUCAUACCCGUCUUCUGGUCAACUGCAACAUAAACUCGGCUAACAGCACCAAAAGGUCGGAAAAGCUCGAGAAGGUCAGGCUCUCUUGUGUCCUCCGAGAGGUUGGUGACACGAACGGAGUUUUCAUCGUUCCUACGUCUCAUAUCAGUUCCAGUCCUGUCUGCUCCUGCUCUCAUACCUGGAGGAACAUAUGUUCCCUUAGUUGCACCGGGUGCAGCAGCUGUAGCCUCUGGUGCUGAAGUCUUAUCCAAUCCCUCACCUUGUGGUGCCAAGUCUUUGUAAGGGCACCUCGAGGUCCAAUGAUCG